UUUAUUCCAAAAUAAAUACAAAAUUGCACAUCAUGUAAACCCGUCAGAUUUAUAGUAAUAAUAAUGACGAUAAUCUAAUAAUCUGUGUUGAACUCUGAAACAUUUCUUUUAGGAACGAAGAGGAAAGUUAGUGAAACUGAUUCAAAGGCAGAGGAUAUGAAAUCUGAAGCUGGUAAGAGCAGUGCUGCAAGUGAUUCUUUAGAUGUAGAGCAAGAGGCUGAAGGCAAAAAUGAUGGAAAGUUGACAGCGAAAGGUCAGCUCUGUGAAACAUGUUAACACUUCCUCCAGUAACAAGAGAGCAGUGUGAAAACUCACCGUUUUAUUUCUUCUUUAUAGACGAACCGGGGAAAUUGCCUCAAAAGGUAGCAGUUAUUAAAUAUGUCAGUUAGGUUAAUGAAAUAUUUCACAUCAAAACGUUAAGUUUUUUCCACACUUCCAUCAUGACAAACUGAGCAUUUACACACAGUUUCUCUUCCAGGACAGGAAAGCCAGCCAUGGAGAAUAUCCAUUGGCGAACUAAAGGCCAGUGGUAACCCUGGAAAGAAAGCAAUUGGUGGCAAAAUCGUGCAGAAAUCUGGUCUGCGUACAUAUCAAACCAAAAACAAGGAGAAAAAGUUUUUCUUUAACCUGGGGGUGGCCGAUGAAACAGGCAGCAUUAAAGUGAUGGUGUAUGGAAGAGAGCGCUAUCAGGACAUCCAGGAGAAGAGCUGCUACCUGUUCAGAGAGGUCAUCAUGGAGGGAAAUGACAUUAAAGUGACCAAAUUAAGCAUCGUAUCGAAGACAUCACAGAUUGAUGUUCCUGAGAAUCUGGAGAUGGAAGCUCGGAUGCUCGUUGAUUCCCAGACUCCAGUUUGCUCCAUCGAACAGGCCCACAGAUCAGCGGAGAAGACAUUAAUCGGCUCCGUUGAAAACAUCAAACUGAAGAAAGGACGAGGAAAGAAAGACAAACAAGAUUUUAAACUUGAAGACGACACCGGUUCAAUCAGGAUCACCUUGUGGGGUGAAGACAUCAAGCAUCUCAGAGAAGUAUCAUGUGGAGACGUUGCCAGGGUGACCAACGUAAAGACCAGUCGCUUCCAGGAUUCAGUAUCGCUGAACUCAACAGAUUCCACCAAAAUUUCAAAGGUUCAGAGUGCUGCAGUCCAGAGCGUCACCAUCAAGAUUAUCGGGAUCAUAAAAGCCAGCGGGACGCAGACUGAGCUGGAGGCGGAGCUCGGCCAUAACAACGAGAUGCAACCGUUUGUGGUGGCUUCAUACCUGCUGGCAGGAGCGUUGGGUGUCAGCCUGGGGGGCAGCUUUGAGGACAGGCUGCUGGAUAAAAUGCCGUUCUCAGCAGAUGUAGAAAUCAAAGGAAACCAGAUCAUCAAAAUUAAAUCCAUCAGAUAGAAGUAAAGAUGGCGUCCACUCUUCAGGCUGGGCUGUAGCCACAUGAUUCAUCUAUUUUUACUAAAGUUGUUUUUUUAAACUGAACAUUUUUAAUAUGAUUCCUUAAAUCUGUCAUUUAACGUAGAGGACAUUUCUGUUAUAUGAUGUCAGUUAUUCUCUCCUUCUGUGUUUCUUGCAAAUGAGUUUUUUCUGUUUUUAUUCUGAUUUGAGCAGAAUAUUCAUAAUCAUCAUCAGUCCUGGAAGCUCAGGGAUUCCCGUGACUACACCACCUGGUGCUGGGAACGUAUCCAUUGGAAUAAAAAGUCAAAUCUGGAACUUAAGAAUAAAAAUAAUAAUCCAUCCCUGAAAAAAAAG
Oreochromis niloticus (Nile tilapia) is the source of this 1740-nucleotide long non-coding RNA. The record is from Ensembl. NCBI's taxonomy places the organism in Eukaryota, Metazoa, Chordata, Actinopteri, Cichliformes, Cichlidae.